AUGAACGCUAGCGACAGGCCUAACACAUGCAAGUCGAGGGGCAGCACAAGGAGCAAUCUGAGGUGGCGACCGGCGCACGGGUGAGUAACACGUAUGCAACCUGCCUGUAAGCGGGGAAUAACCCGUUGAAAGACGGACUAAUACCGCAUAAUACUAAAUUACUGCAUGGUAAUUUAUUUUAAACAUUUUAUGGCUUACAGAUGGGCAUGCGCAUGAUUAGCUAGUUGGAGAGGUAACGGCUCCCCAAGGCAACGAUCAUUAGGGGUUCUGAGAGGAAGGUCCCCCACACUGGUACUGAGACACGGACCAGACUCCUACGGGAGGCAGCAGUGAGGAAUAUUGGUCAAUGGACGAGAGUCUGAACCAGCCAAGUCGCGUGCAGGAAGAAUGUCCCUAUGGAUUGUAAACUGCUUUUGCAGGGGAAUAAAGUGCAUCACGUGUGAUGUUUUGUAUGUACUCUGCGAAUAAGGAUCGGCUAACUCCGUGCCAGCCGCUGC
RNAcentral lists this ribosomal RNA (497 nucleotides) under uncultured bacterium. RNAcentral describes it as "bacterial SSU rRNA". It matches the Rfam family "Bacterial small subunit ribosomal RNA", at positions 29 to 518 of the family's 1533-position model. The record is from RNAcentral.